UACGAAGGGGGCUAGCGUUGCUCGGAAUGACUGGGCGUAAAGGGCGCGUAGGCGGGCUGCCGCGUCCGGGGUGAAAGCCCCCCGCUCAACGGGGGAACGGCCUCGGAUACGGGCGAUCUCGAGGGGGGUAGGGGCACCUGGAACUGUGGGUGGAGCGGUGAAAUGCGUUGAUAUCCACAGGAACUCCGGUGGCGAAGGCGAGGUGCUGGACCCCAUCUGACGCUGAGGCGCGAAAGCCAGGGGAGCGAACGGG
RNAcentral lists this ribosomal RNA (253 nucleotides) under uncultured bacterium. RNAcentral describes it as "partial 16S ribosomal RNA". It matches the Rfam family "Bacterial small subunit ribosomal RNA", at positions 524 to 776 of the family's 1533-position model. The record is from RNAcentral.